This 271-nucleotide ribosomal RNA is filed under the name Escherichia coli. RNAcentral describes it as "partial 23S ribosomal RNA". It matches the Rfam family "Bacterial large subunit ribosomal RNA", at positions 1 to 272 of the family's 2925-position model. The record is from RNAcentral. Lineage: Bacteria; Pseudomonadati; Pseudomonadota; Gammaproteobacteria; Enterobacterales; Enterobacteriaceae.
GGUUAAGCGACUAAGCGUACACGGUGGAUGCCCUGGCAGUCAGAGGCGAUGAAGGACGUGCUAAUCUGCGAUAAGCGUCGGUGAGGUGAUAUGAACCGUUAUAACCGGCGAUUUCCGAAUGGGGAAACCCAGUGUGUUUCGACACACUAUCAUUAACUGAAUCCAUAGGUUAAUGAGGCGAACCGGGGGAACUGAAACAUCUAAGUACCCCGAGGAAAAGAAAUCAACCGAGAUUCCCCCAGUAGCGGCGAGCGAACGGGGAGGAGCCCAG